This 492-nucleotide ribosomal RNA is filed under the name Triticum aestivum (bread wheat). RNAcentral describes it as "partial small subunit ribosomal RNA". Lineage: Eukaryota; Viridiplantae; Streptophyta; Magnoliopsida; Poales; Poaceae. The record is from RNAcentral.
AUGAUGCGGACUGGGUUCAUUUUCAGUUUCAUGGGGUACUUAAGCAAUGGUUGCACCCCGCCACAUCACAUACCAGGCAAUGGCAGCAUGGGUGGAACGAGAGGAAGGAUGGGAAUCAGCUACUUGCAUUCGCACGGAGGAGGCAAUGUCGACGCGAUGGCACAGCAGAGGAGGCUGGGCUUGUUGUGGAGCUUCUUGAGGCAGCAGGACGUCGGCGAGAGCAUCGCUGCCGGCAACGGCUCGAGUGACCUCUUGAGGAUCUUCUCCAUGAGCACCCGUGACGACACCAACUCCAACAUCAUCUUCUCAGCGCCCGACAGCAAGAAGGCCGAGGUGCUCGGCGACAGCGAUGUCGACAUGGUCACCAGCUUCAGCAACAUCGACUCCCGGCUGCAGCAGGACUCCGCCGACUGUAGAGUCCACGCCAAGCGUGGCUGCACCACUGACCCGCAGAGCAUCGCUUGGGAGGGAAAGAAGAACAAGGACCAAUAA